UCGCACACCCGGAGUCUCAAGGACUAGGGCUGCAAGCUCCUCCACGUAUCUGCGAGUAAGCUCCAUUGAAUUCAGUGGGGUUUACUUCUGAGUAGGAUUGCUCUACAAGAGGUUUUAUUGCGGCGUGUGGCCCACCCACCCCCUUUUUUUUGGCACUGGAACCCACUUCUGUCACAGUCUGUUAGCCUUGACGCUCCACAAAGAAAAAGAUAACAUGCCAGGGAGAAAGCUGAACUGAGCCAUUCUCCACACAAGGGAGUUUUGUUUUAAAGAAGAGCAUUCAAGCAAGUCAACUUCUACCUGUUUUUCCCAGCAAGUACUAGUCACUGGAUUCUACUGGAUGGAUUUUACUGAACCUUACAACUUUUGGAAAAUGCCCUUCAGCUUUCUUGAAUGGUGUUCCAUGGUUGCUAUGGGGAAACUGGAAAUGCUGGUAUGCAUGUGUCCUUGUGUCCAACCUCUCAGCAAAGACAUAUAGUUUGAAAUACUGUAUAUGUCUCUUUUCUUUCUCACUCACACAACUAUAAUUAAUUACUCUCCUCUCUGCAAGGCUGAGUGUCGAUGUGGGUGAGACAACAGAAAACCCAGUACGUAGUUCCAUCAUCCAUAAACCACCUCCUCACACCCACAUAUUCUUAGAAGUGCACUUUAAUUAGUUUUUAAACCAGUAGUGUAUUUAUUAUUGGUCUCCACACUCAUAAUUUAUGAGUAAAUCUCAUAAUAAUUUUGUUUUAUACUUCCAAACAGGCCAUACUACUUCACACCCACACUGAAAGUGUCUCAAAAAUAUUUUGUAAAGUUGUUCCACUUUCUGAUUUUAGUUCACACACAUUGUGUUUCCUCAGUAAAUGCAUGAUGGAGAAUUUCCAUUCUAAAUUAAAGUCACCGUCCAGUAGAGAGGACUAAAUAUUAAAAUUACACACAUACCCAACUAUAUUAUUUAUGAACAGCUAAUCCUGACUCUUUGCACACAUCCUUGGAAGGUGUGUGAAGCUUCCCCAGUGAAGCUGGACUCCUGGUAAACCAGCCUGUGUUCAUUGCUUUUUGUAUUUCCUGCAUGCGUACAAUGACACCACACAGUGACCCUGUUUAAUACAUGUUCAAAUCUUAAUGCUUUUGUUCUUUGACAACUGCCUUUCCAUAAUUUCCUCCUAUAGGAAAAGCUACAUUUAUACUGUAUGCCUAUGCAUUUCUAAGUAACACAUAGUGUGAUAUGUGACUGAUAAUGCAUAACUUUAAUAAUAACUGGUUGAGAGCAACAGGAAAUAAUGUAAUCACUGUAUCAUUGAAUUAGUCAUAUUUCUUAGAACUACCAUUUGAAUUAAAUUUACUUUCCUUUGUUACAUGUGGCAUUAACCAUAUGUUCAUACCGAAAACUGUAUGACCCUCCACAGGCCUUCUGUUGUUCCUUAUCAAUCAAUACACCAGAAGUACUGUAAGUUUGCAUAUAUGGAAUGCAGCCUUAAACAAUAGUUGGGGAUGCAACUGUGUAAUGAAAACACCGGCUGUAUAGCCAUGCCGUAUGUAUAACUGUGCAGUCAGAUUUAUAUUUUUCUUGUAUCCUAUCGAAUUUUUAAGGAUUACAACAGUAAUUCAAAGUAGUUAAAUUACUUUUGGACCUCAUGUUCACUGAUGAGUAAAAGUACAGAAGAAAAAUUGAUACUUGAAUAAAGCAAUAUUGUUAUGUA
Molecule: long non-coding RNA, 1688 nt
Organism: Podarcis muralis (Common wall lizard)
Lineage: Eukaryota; Metazoa; Chordata; Lepidosauria; Squamata; Lacertidae
Source: RefSeq, a predicted model, not a curated record